This 253-nucleotide ribosomal RNA is filed under the name uncultured bacterium. Its description in RNAcentral is "partial 16S ribosomal RNA". It matches the Rfam family "Bacterial small subunit ribosomal RNA", at positions 524 to 776 of the family's 1533-position model. The record is from RNAcentral.
UACAGAGGGGGCAAGCGUUGUUCGGAAUUACUGGGCGUAAAGGGCGCGUAGGCGGCCUGUUAAGUCGGACGUGAAAUCCCUCGGCUCAACCGGGGAACUGCGUCCGAUACUGGCGGGCUUGAAUUCGGGAGAGGGAUGUGGAAUUCCAGGUGUAGCGGUGAAAUGCGUAGAUAUCGUAAGGAAGACCAGUGGCGAAGGCGGGUCUCUGGACAGUUCCUGACGCUGAGGCACGAAGGCCAGGGGAGCAAACGGG